GCAAGUCGAGCGCUUCACUUCGGUGAGGAGCGGCGGACGGGUUAGUAACGCGUGGGAACAUACCCGACACUACGGAAUAGCCUCUGGAAACGGAGAGUAAUACCGUAUACGCCCUACGGGGGAAAGAUUUAUCGGUGACGGAUUGGCCCGCGUUAGAUUAGGUAGUUGGUGGGGUAACGGCCCACCAAGCCGACGAUCUAUAGCUGGUUUGAGAGGAUGAUC
RNAcentral lists this ribosomal RNA (222 nucleotides) under uncultured bacterium. RNAcentral's name for it is "partial 16S ribosomal RNA". It matches the Rfam family "Bacterial small subunit ribosomal RNA", at positions 57 to 305 of the family's 1533-position model. The record is from RNAcentral.